RNAcentral lists this ribosomal RNA (253 nucleotides) under uncultured bacterium. Its description in RNAcentral is "partial 16S ribosomal RNA". It matches the Rfam family "Bacterial small subunit ribosomal RNA", at positions 524 to 776 of the family's 1533-position model. The record is from RNAcentral.
UACAGAGGGUGCGAGCGUUAAUCGGAAUUACUGGGCGUAAAGCGCGCGUAGGCGGCUUUUCAAGUCGAUUGUGAAAUCCCCGGGCUUGACCUGGGAACUGCAGUCGAGACUGUCUAGCUAGAGUAUGGGAGAGGGAAGUGGAAUUUCAGGUGUAGCGGUGAAAUGCGUAGAUAUCUGAAGGAACAUCAGUGGCGAAAGCGACUUCCUGGACCAAUACUGACGCUCAUGUGCGAAAGCGUGGGGAGCAAACAGG